This 720-nucleotide long non-coding RNA is filed under the name Mytilus galloprovincialis (Mediterranean mussel). Lineage: Eukaryota; Metazoa; Mollusca; Bivalvia; Mytilida; Mytilidae. The record is from RNAcentral.
GUUCUGCUGAAACUGAAUUAACACAGUGAUUGAUAUAUUGUAUAGUUCAGUACUAUGAAAUCAUUUAGUACAUUGCCGUUAAGACAUGUUUUACGUUCUAUUAUUAAUACAACUGUAACUUAAUUGAUAAAUAUUCAUAUAUCUUGAAGUGUUUAAUUGCGACGUUUUUUUGUGCAAUCCAAAGUCAGGAACCUUUGGCCAGUGUUAGUCUUGUUUGAUGUUUUUUUUUUUUAAUUUUGGUUCAUUAAUAUGAUCCGGAGUUUAGUGUGACGUCCAUUUGUACUAAACUAGUAUACAGUAUUGUUAUGUUAAUUGUGUCUCAGGUUGCGGUAUUUCCUUGCUGUGUUGAAGAUCCAUUGAUGGCCCUGUUUGCUGUUUUCUCAUAUUUGGUAGAGUUGUUGGCUUUUUGAAAUAUUUCCAGUUUCCAUUCUCCUUUCUAAAGGCACACAUACUUAUGAUUGAAAUUCCUUUGAAAAUAAGAAUAUAAUGUUAGUAUGAAAUUUCCUUUCAUUUUUUGAACUACAUAUUAUAUCUGCUUUGAUUAUACCAAUACUUUCAGAUAACUGUAACUCAAUUGUACCCCCCCCCCCCCGCCCUAAUUUGUAAUAAAUGAAAAAUGAAGAGUUGUGAGGUAUUCCCCAAUGAGACUCUUCUAACACAAAACUUAGCAAACAAGUCGUAUAAUUACAACUUUUAAAAGUCUUACAGUCAUAUAAUCUG